RNAcentral lists this ribosomal RNA (300 nucleotides) under uncultured Anaerofilum sp. RNAcentral's name for it is "bacterial SSU rRNA". It matches the Rfam family "Bacterial small subunit ribosomal RNA", at positions 496 to 795 of the family's 1533-position model. Lineage: Bacteria; Bacillati; Bacillota; Clostridia; Eubacteriales; Oscillospiraceae. The record is from RNAcentral.
GGUAACUGCGGACCUGAGGCAGCGGUAAGACGUGGGGGGCGGUCGUUGGCCGGAAUGAUUGGGCGUAAAGGGCUUGUAGGCGGUUGGUGGCGUCUGCUGGGAAAAUCCGGGGCUCAACACCGGACUUGCAGUGGGUACGGGCAGACUAGAGUAUGGUAGGGGAGACUGGAAUUCCUGGUGUAGCGGUGAAAUGCGCAGAUAUCAGGAGGAACACCGAUGGCGAAGGCAGGUCUCUGGGCCACUACUGACGCUGAGAAGCGAAAGCAUGGGGAGCGAACAGGAUUAGAUACCCUGGUAGUC